Nelumbo nucifera (sacred lotus) is the source of this 1264-nucleotide non-coding RNA. The record is from RefSeq and is a predicted model, not a curated record. NCBI's taxonomy places the organism in Eukaryota, Viridiplantae, Streptophyta, Magnoliopsida, Proteales, Nelumbonaceae.
CCUUUUUUCUCUUCUCCGUCUUCAAUCUUUCAUGGGAAAGGUCGCUGCCUCACUUUCUGGGUGCAUAUGGACCGGCAUUACCUGCGACAACGCCAACUGUCUCGAAGAUGGGCUCUUGCUUUUCCUCUGAAUCCAGCAAUUCCUCUGUUUCCCCAACAAUCAAAGUCAUCUCCGCGGACGGCAAGCUCCGCGACUACAUAUCCCCCGUUACGGUAUCCGACUAUCCCGGGCCCUCGAAAUGGAGACGUCGCUGUGCUUCAUCUGCAGCUCCGACAAGCUUUUCUACGACUCCCUCAUUCCACCCUUGCACCCUGCCCAGCAACUCCAGUCUGGACAACUCUACUUCGUCCUUCCCCUCACCCGGAUGCACUACCGCCUGACGGCUUCCGACAUGGCAGCAUUGGCUGUGAAAGCCAGUACUGCCCAUUCUUACGACUUCCGACUCAGAGCAGAGAUCUCUGCCAAGAAAACUGUUCAACAUCGUCCCAGAGAUCUCUGGCUGUUGAAAUGGGCUUAUCGUCCCAGAGAUCUGCCAAGCGAACUGUUCAACAGAGAGAUCUCCGUCGAAAUGGACUCAAGAAUCGUGUGCUUGAACAUUUCAACAGCACAUAAGCGAAACUGUUGAACUAGAGAUCUAGUACACAUCCCCCAUUGCGGUAUCCCACUAUCGCAGGCCCUCGAAAUGGAGACGUCGUCGUGCUUCAUCUGCAACUCCGGCAAGCUUUUCUACGGCUCUCUCAUUCCACCCUAUUUAACUUAUUUAACCAAUCUCAGAUGUCAUAGACCCCGGUUUUGUUUGUUGACGACAAAGACUCCGACAAGCUUCUCUUUAUUUUGUGGUGAUAUGUGACCAUUAAGUCAGAUGACGGUAUCCCCCUGUAUUUUGCUUCUCUUUAUUUUGUUUGUUGCAGGUUGAACUAAAGCCAAUGGCUGCCGGUAAUUCCUCCUCCAGAAGAAAAUCUUUUUCAUCUCACAAGAAGAAGCACGUUAAGCCUUCCUCCGAGGACUUGUAGUUGACGGAGCCGGAGACUCUCCUGCAGCACUUGCAGAGCCGGAGCCGCCUCCCCUGCAACACUUGGGGAGUUCGAGCCGGUGUUAGAUCCUACGGUCAUAGUACAAGGGUAGUAUCGAAAGGUCGGGAAAGAUGAAUAGUGUUUUUCUGGGAUUAAAAAAUAUUGUAACAGCCUUUUUAGACGGAAGGCUAAGGGAAGAGGUCUUUCACUUGGGGUCUUUGUCGCAAAACAAAAUAAAGAGGUCUUUAUCA